AUUGCCCUAGUAACGGCGAGUGAAGCGGCAACAGCUCAAAUUUGAAAUCUGGCUCUUUCAGAGUCCGAGUUGUAAUUUGCAGAGGGCGCUUUGGCGUUGGCAGCGGUCCAAGUUCUUUGGAACAGGACGUCACAGAGGGUGAGAAUCCCGUACGUGGUCGCUAGCCUUCGCCGUGUAAAGCCCCUUCGACGAGUCGAGUUGUUUGGGAAUGCAGCUCUAAAUGGGAGGUAAAUUUCUUCUAAAGCUAAAUACUGGCCAGAGACCGAUAGCGCACAAGUAGAGUGAUCGAAAGAUGAAAAGCACUUUGGAAAGAGAGUCAAAUAGCACGUGAAAUUGUUGAAAGGGAAGCGCUUGCAGCCAGACUUGCCUGUAGUUGCUUAUCCGGACUUUUGUCCGGUGCACUCUUCUGCGGGCAGGCCAGCAUCAGUUUGGGCGGUUGGAUAAAGGUCUCUGUCAUGUACCUCCUUUCGGGGAGGCCUUAUAGGGGAGACGACAUACAACCAGCCUGGACUGAGGUCCGCGCAUCUGCUAGGAUGCUGGCGUAAUGGCUGUAAGCGGCCCGUCUUGAAACACGGACCAAGGAGUCUAACAUCUAUGCGAGUGUUUGGGUGUCAAGCCCAGACGCGUAAUGAAAGUGAACGGAGGUGGGAACCUUUUAGGUGCACCAUCGACCGAUCCUGAUGUCUUCGGAAGGAUUUGAGUAAGAGCAUGGCUGUUGGGACCCGAAAGAUGGUGAACUAUGCUUGAAUAGGGUGAAGCCAGAGGAAACUCUGGUGGAGGCUCGCAGCGGUUCUGACGUGCAAAUCGAUCGUCAAAUUUGGGCAUAGGGGCGAAAGACUAAUCGAACUAUCUAGUAGCUGGUUCCUGCCGAAGUUUCCCUCAGGAUAGCAGUAACGUAUUCAGUUUUAUGAGGUAAAGCGAAUGAUUAGAGGCCUGGGGGUUGAAACAACCUUCACCUAUUCUCAAACUUUAAAUAUGUAAGAAGUCCUUGUUACUUGAUUGAACGUGGACACUUGAAUGUACCGUUACUAGUGGGCCAUUUUUGGUAAGCAGAACUGGCGAUGCGGGAUGAACCGAACGCGGGGUUAAGGUGCCAGAAUAUACGCUCAUCAGACACCACAAAAGGUGUUAGUUCAUCUAGACAGCAGGACGGUGGCCAUGGAAGUCGGAAUCCGCUAAGGAGUGUGUAACAACUCACCUGCCGAAUGAACUAGCCCUGAAAAUGGAUGGCGCUCAAGCGUAUUACCCAUACCCCGCCGCCGGGGCAGAAUUUAUGCCCCGGCGAGUAGGCAGGCGUGGAGGCUCGUGACGAAGCCUUGGGG
Molecule: ribosomal RNA, 1322 nt
Filed under: Didymocyrtis foliaceiphila
Lineage: Eukaryota; Fungi; Ascomycota; Dothideomycetes; Pleosporales; Phaeosphaeriaceae
Description: eukaryotic LSU rRNA
Rfam family: Eukaryotic large subunit ribosomal RNA
Source: RNAcentral